GUUCCAUUCUACCAUCCCUCGUUCACCCAGUGAUUCAUUCCUUUGUUAAUGUAUCAUGUCAUUCAUCUGUUCAUCCAAUAGGAAAGCCACAGGUAAGAGGCACUUAGAAAAAUAGAAAAAGUCAUUUAAAAAAACAAAACAAUACAAAAGAGUCUGAAACGGCAUCCUAUUCCCUAUGUGGGGCACUACCCCCUCUGUCUGGUUUCUGAUUGGUCCAUUCAGGAAGCAGGUCCAUUUGGAAUGGUCCAUUCAGGAAGCAGGUCCAUUUUGAUUGGUCCAUUCAGGAAGCAGAGGCCAGAUUGACAGCAAGCUACCAUUUACAAUAGACUGGGCUAAAAGCCGGGAUUUAAUUAAAGAAGCGAUAAUCAAACAACACUCUCAACAGUGAUCCUUUUAAAGAUGUUUGCAGAGAUGUUGCAUUUGCGGUAAACGCA
Molecule: long non-coding RNA, 434 nt
Organism: Oncorhynchus tshawytscha (Chinook salmon)
Lineage: Eukaryota; Metazoa; Chordata; Actinopteri; Salmoniformes; Salmonidae
Source: Ensembl